RNAcentral lists this ribosomal RNA (379 nucleotides) under uncultured cyanobacterium. Its description in RNAcentral is "bacterial SSU rRNA". It matches the Rfam family "Bacterial small subunit ribosomal RNA", at positions 376 to 770 of the family's 1533-position model. The record is from RNAcentral. Lineage: Bacteria; Bacillati; Cyanobacteriota.
CGCAAGCCUGACGGAGCAACGCCGCGUGUGGGAAGAAGGCUCUUGGGCUGUCAACCACUUUUCUCAGGGAAGAAGCGCUGACGGUACCUGAGGAAUCAGCCUCGGCUAACUCCGUGCCAGCAGCCGCGGUAAUACGGAGGAGGCAAGCGUUAUCCGGAAUUAUUGGGCGUAAAGCGUCCGCAGGGGGCACAUCAAGUCUGCUGUUAAAGGCUGGAGCUUAACUCCGGUAGAGCAGUGGAAACUGGUGUGCUAGAGGGCGACAGGGGUAGAGGGAAUUCCCAGUGUAGCGGUGAAAUGCGUAGAGAUUGGGAAGAACACCGGUGGCGAAAGCGCUCUACUGGGUCGCACCUGACCCUCAGGGACGAAAGCUAAGGUAGCG